Molecule: ribosomal RNA, 247 nt
Filed under: uncultured Gammaproteobacteria bacterium
Lineage: Bacteria; Pseudomonadati; Pseudomonadota; Gammaproteobacteria
Description: partial 16S ribosomal RNA
Rfam family: Bacterial small subunit ribosomal RNA
Source: RNAcentral
AUUGAACGCUGGCGGCAGGCUUAACACAUGCAAGUCGAGCGGAAACGAUGGGAGCUUGCUCCCAGGCGUCGAGCGGCGGACGGGUGAGUAACGCGUAGGAAUCUACCCAGUAGAGGGGGAUAGCCCGGGGAAACCCGGAUUAAUACCGCAUACGCCCUAAGGGGGAAAGGCCGGGAUCUUCGGACCGGUCACUAUUGGAUGAGCCUGCGUAAGAUUAGCUAGUUGGUAGGGUAAAGGCCUACCAAGG